This 200-nucleotide ribosomal RNA is filed under the name Isochrysis galbana. RNAcentral describes it as "partial Bacterial large subunit ribosomal RNA". It matches the Rfam family "Bacterial large subunit ribosomal RNA", at positions 2454 to 2653 of the family's 2925-position model. Lineage: Eukaryota; Haptophyta; Isochrysidales; Isochrysidaceae. The record is from RNAcentral.
GGAUAAAAGGUACUCCCGGGAUAACAGGCUGAUCUCCCCCAAGAGCUCACAUCGACGGGGGGGUUUGGCACCUCGAUGUCGGCUCGUCACAUCCUGGGGCUGGAGAAGGUCCCAAGGGUUGGGCUGUUCGCCCAUGAAAGCGGCACGUGAGCUGGGUUCAGAACGUCGUGAGACAGCUCGGUCCCUAUCUGCCGUGGGUG